RNAcentral lists this ribosomal RNA (557 nucleotides) under uncultured bacterium. Its description in RNAcentral is "bacterial SSU rRNA". It matches the Rfam family "Bacterial small subunit ribosomal RNA", at positions 11 to 562 of the family's 1533-position model. The record is from RNAcentral.
GUUUGAUCCUGGCUCAGAUUGAACGCUGGCGGCAGGCUUAACACAUGCAAGUCGAGCGGAGAGAGGUAGCUUGCUACUGAUCUUAGCGGCGGACGGGUGAGUAAUACUUAGGAAUCUGGCUAUUAGUGGGGGACAACAUUUCGAAAGGGAUGCUAAUACCGCAUACGUCCUACGGGAGAAAGCAGGGGAUCUUCGGACCUUGCGCUAAUAGAUGAGCCUAAGUCGGAUUAGCUAGUUGGUGGGGUAAAGGCCUACCAAGGCGACGAUCUGUAGCGGGUCUGAGAGGAUGAUCCGCCACACUGGGACUGAGACACGGCCCAGACUCCUACGGGAGGCAGCAGUGGGGAAUAUUGGACAAUGGGGGGAACCCUGAUCCAGCCAUGCCGCGUGUGUGAAGAAGGCCUUAUGGUUGUAAAGCACUUUAAGCGAGGAGGAGGGUACUGGUAUUAAUACUACCAGGUACUGGACGUUACUCGCAGAAUAAGCACCGGCUAACUCUGUGCCAGCAGCCGCGGUAAUACAGAGGGUGCGAGCGUUAAUCGGAUUUACUGGGCGUA